GCUAUGCACCCCAGACAGAUACCCAGCACCCUGCCCCCGGGGCUCCAAACCUGGGGUCAGGUCGGUGGCCACAGGUGCCCCCUGCAGAAGGGUAGGCUGUGCAGAAAUUGUUUUCACCCGUGUCUACUGAGACGGAAAACACCUCAAUUGGGCAGCCUGGUCCUCAGGAGGGGCAUGAAUAAGCACUUGCUUCUCCUCGUGGGGUUCGUCCAGCAGCCUGGUGUGCACACAGCUACUGCAAGUCAAGAGACAGCAGCCACUGGACCAAAAUCUAAGAAGUGAUUUGCCCCGGGUCACACAGUUAUUUAGCGAAAGAGUCCAUCUGGACAAGAUUCCUUCCCAUAAACCAAAGCAGUCUACAGAUAUACAGAAGGUGCCUACUUUGUGCCGGGAACUGUGCUGGGUGCUGAAAUAUACAACAGAUGGUGGACAAGUCAAACCAACUCUGCCCCUGUGGGUAGAAACACUACAGGGACACUUUUGGCGUGUGAUGGGCACUGAACCUACAAAUAGCAAUAAAAGAUGGCCUUUCAAGUGGCUUCCUUCGGUAAAUAAAAGUUCCACGCCUCGAUUGUGCUGCCUCCGCUUUCUGGAAUGCUCUGCCCCACCCCACGGCCUCUCUUCACGGAACUACCUCCCGAUUAUCGUCCGCAGUUCAAACACCACCUCCUCCAGGAAGUCCAUCCUGCACAUCCCCAGCUGCAUUAGAUGCCCCUCUUGGUACUUAGCCUCAUGCCCCAUGUACGGCUGUCAUUGCACUUACCAUAUUGUUGUAUAAUUGCUAUCUUCCGCUCCUACGCUGAAUUUCUUCUUGGCCAGAACCAACACAUUUUAUUCAUCUUUGUUCUCUCCGUA
Lynx canadensis (Canada lynx) is the source of this 855-nucleotide long non-coding RNA. RefSeq lists it as uncharacterized. NCBI's taxonomy places the organism in Eukaryota, Metazoa, Chordata, Mammalia, Carnivora, Felidae. The record is from RefSeq and is a predicted model, not a curated record. The transcript is spliced from 5 exons.